RNAcentral lists this unclassified non-coding RNA (556 nucleotides) under Hevea brasiliensis (rubber tree). The record is from RNAcentral. Lineage: Eukaryota; Viridiplantae; Streptophyta; Magnoliopsida; Malpighiales; Euphorbiaceae.
CCUUGAUAUGAUUAAAGGAAUUCCCCAAAAGAUCCUGGCAUUUGAGAAGUUCCUUGAAGAAAAUCCGUACUGGCGUGAUAAAGUGGUUUUGCUUCAAAUUGCUGUGCCAACAAGAACAGAUGUUCCUGAAUACCAAAAACUUACCAGUCAAGUUCAUGAGAUUGUUGGACGCAUCAAUGGUCGGUUUGGAACUUUGACUGCAGUGCCUAUUCAUCAUCUGGACCGUUCUCUUGACUUUCAUGCAUUAUGUGCACUGUAUGCUGUAACUGAUGUAGCGUUGGUUACCUCUUUAAGAGAUGGCAUGAACCUCGUCAGCUAUGAAUUUGUAGCCUGCCAAGAGUUGAAAAAAGGGGUCCUUAUUCUCAGCGAAUUUGCUGGUGCUGCACAAUCGUUAGGUGCUGGAGCAAUUCUGGUGAAUCCAUGGAAUAUAACAGAGGUUGCUGCUUCGAUUGGGCAAGCUUUAAAUAUGUCAGCUGAAGAAAGAGAAAAACGCCACAGGCAUAACUUUCUGCAUGUGACUACGCAUACUGCUCAAGAAUGGGCUGAGACUUUUGUG